AACCACAGCCAUUUCACCCUGUAGCCCAAAACCAGUUACUCACUGAAGCCAAGCAUGGCUGAGCUUGGUUAGUACCAGGAUGGGUGACCACAUGCAAAACUAGGUUGCUGUUGGAC
Molecule: ribosomal RNA, 116 nt
Organism: Danio rerio (zebrafish)
Lineage: Eukaryota; Metazoa; Chordata; Actinopteri; Cypriniformes; Danionidae
Source: Ensembl